AGAAACCUUUAUUUCCUUUAUUAAACAAUAAAAAUCCGAAUCUCCCCAUUUCAUCCGAAAGAGCCGCAGCUCCUUUCUCUCUCUAAGAUCUCUCUCUACAACCUCUCUCUAAACUCAUCAAUGGCUGCUGCCGCCGGCCAGCCUCCCUCCGUCCACCAAUCCACCGGCCGCCAUGGCUGGUGCACCACUUCCAACCAAACGCCGCUGCUCCACCGGAGAAAGCCCCGCGCCGCCGUCGCCCCUUUCACCCAUUCACCGCUCAGACCAGCGACUAGCGUGCCGCCAACCAGCCAUGCAACCGGCGAAGUCAGCCGGCGAAACCCCCAAAACGACAACACCAUCGCUGCCUCCGUCAGCGCCCAGAUCUGCCAUGCUCCACCAGCGAACGGCGCCGCCGCUGCCUCCUCUCCGUCGCCCUCCUCAUCCGACCGGUCACCGCUGGGACCCGCCUCCAGCAGUUGCGAACCAUCAACGGCAAACUAGACGCGAUUCAACCGCCCCCUCCUCUCACCAGCCAUGUUCUCGUCGGAAUUAAGGACGAUGAGGUUCCCUUUUGGUGAACCCGACUACCAUACGAUGUUUACUCUAAACACACUAAUAGAGAAUGAGUGUGUUGAAGAAAAAGUUGGGAUCAAGUCUCAAGUUUCAGAGUUGAUUGAUGCCCAAGAAAAAUUAAGUAUGGAGAUGGAAGAAUUAAGACUGGAACUAGCUGCUAAGGAUGCAGAAAUUACUCGCCUCAAGUUGAGAGAUAACAGCUAUCAUGACCUGGUGCUUCAGAAGAACUGAAGACUGAAAAUACAGCAUUGAAGACACAAAUCAAUGCUUUGUCUGGAGAGGUCAAUUAUCUGAAUGCAGAAAUCAAGGACCUCACAAAGCAACUUUCGAACACUUACUCUACUGAGAAUGUCAAGAUGGCAAUGCUCUUUAGGUCUCUUUCCCCUAAACCUCCACCCUCUUAAGCCACUCUCCUUGUUACGUCAUCUCUUGAGUUAGUUUCCAUUGUGUUUCCCCUGUGUCCCUGUGCCUGAUCAGUUUAGUUCUUUAUGUUUUUGAAUGACAAUGUAUGGUAACUUUUCGAUUAUGAAAUGAAUGGAACCUUUUACUUGUGUC
Capsicum annuum is the source of this 1110-nucleotide RNA transcript. It is a transcript of the gene named vegetative cell wall protein gp1, with no coding region annotated. The transcript has 2 exons. Lineage: Eukaryota; Viridiplantae; Streptophyta; Magnoliopsida; Solanales; Solanaceae. The record is from RefSeq and is a predicted model, not a curated record.